Molecule: non-coding RNA, 12968 nt
Organism: Podarcis lilfordi (Lilford's wall lizard)
Lineage: Eukaryota; Metazoa; Chordata; Lepidosauria; Squamata; Lacertidae
Source: the annotation of a GenBank genome assembly
CCUGGUCAUAACUACAGCCCAGAGCAAGGUUUUUUCCUUUACAGAAUGAGAUCAAAUGUGGUGGAAGCUACUAGUUUAAUGAGAACACCUCUCCCCAUACUGAGCUAUCCUAUCUUUCAGAAUCAUAAACUGAGGUUUUGAUGAAAAGUCCCCUUACCUGAGAGGUAAGUGGGGCCUUCCCACAGGAGCCCUAUUCUGUGGAAUGCCCUGUUUUAAAUCGGGUUUUCCCUGCCCCGCUAAGCUGCAUGGAGGUUGGGGGGGGGGGGGAAUCUCUCUUCCAGCUCUAGUAUGGGAGUCAGUAGAUUAGCCUCUCCUUCCUGCCUGCCUGCUUCCUUCUCAGUAAGAAUUCCCUAUCCAGUGCCUGUAAUAAUUUAAAGAAAAAUAAGAUACAUAGCUCCAUGUUAUAUAUUAAGCCAGGAGUGGGGAAGUGGAACUGGCCUGUGGGUGGAUCCUGAUCUCUCCCACUCACUCCCAUGGGACCAACUGAAGGGGCCACCAAUCUGUCAAUCAUUGGAUGCCAUAAUGAAUCAAACUGUGCAAGGUAUGGCGCUUUGCAAACCCCAGCAAUCAGCUGAUCAUCUAGGCACAGUGAAACAGCGAAAAUCCGGAAGGUUGUUGAGCUAUUUUUGGCAAAGUUGCCAAUUUUGGGGGGGGGGCGGGCAAAAAUGCCAGUUUUGAGCAAUUUUUACAGAAAAUUAGCAAAAACAACACUGCCGACAUGGGCUGCCACCUGGGCACUGCUGCAGACUGCAGUAUUCCAGAUACAGUGGUGCCCCGCAAGACGAAUGCCUCGCAAGACGGAAAACCCGCUAGACGAAAGGGUUUUCCGUUUUUGAGUUGCUUCGCAGGACGAAUUUCCCUAUGGGCUUGCUCGCAAGACGAAAAUGUCUUGCAGUCUUGAGAUUUUUUUCGCUCCCCUUUAUCUAAUCCGCUAAGCCUUUAAUAGCCUUUAAUAGCCUUUUAGCAGCUAAUCCGCUAAGCCUUUAAGCCUUUAAUAGCCGCUAAACCGCUAAUAGCGCUAAUCCGUUAAGCCGCUAAUAGGGUUGCUUCGCAAGACGAAAAAACCGCUAGACGAAGACUCUCGCGGAACGGAUUAAUUUCGUCUUGCGAGGCACCACUGUAUGUCCAGGAAAUUCCGGGUGUAUGGCAACCCAUCUUUAUCUUUACCUGGCCUCUCCUGACAUGUAUUGUGAAGAGCAUGUGGGUGAGGCUCAGCCAAAGCAACCUUGUAGGCCAAAUGGGGAGGAGCUACAAGCCAGCCAUUCCCCAACCCACAUUUAGUAAACAUCAAGUUUGGCUCUGAACUGCAGUCUCCAGCAAUUUCCAGCGGCAAUUUUUUUAUUUUAUUUUAUUUCCUCAAAAGGUUUUAUUGAACAUCAGGAACCAGAAAAAACAAAAAUAUUUAUUUUUAUUUAACAGGCUUAAUCAUCAAAACCUCUAAGUGCCAUUAGAACGUUUCCUCUUCAGGACAUUCAAUGGUUCUCUUAAUGAUCUGAACCCUGCAAUCCAUUGCAUAACUACUCAAAAGUAAACCCCAGCAUCAGUUCAAGGGAGCCUGCUUCCAAGGAAAUAUGUAUGAGAUGGCAGCCUAAAGCUGCUUUAUGCAAACAGUGACAUAUUUCCAUUGCUAAUUUCAAUGAAAAUGUGUUGUUUUGUACUCUUAAUUCUUGUUAGCACUGUGUACAAAUUAGCUUGAUAACGAUGUUUUAUGAGAUUUAGCUUGUAAGCCACUUUGGGUUGUUUUAGUUAAAGAAAUGCAGAAUGUAAUCAAUCAAUCACACUGAAAUCUGAUUAUAUUAGCUACUAAUCAGCUACUAACCGCAGUAGUAUAGGAAGAAGCUCUAAAAAUCAGGGCUGUUCGUUCCAUUAGGCAAAGUGAAGGCAGCUGCCUUAGGCAGCAAAUCUGAGGCAACCAUUAGACAAAAGUAAGAUGCCCGCCAUGUGCAAUGUAAUCCUAUAAUGAGCACCUACUAGUUGUUGAUUGGGUGGGCUCAGGCAGUAUCAAUGCUUCACUGCAGGAGGGGAACAUACCAUCUGCCUUGAAAGAGCUGGUGGCGCAUGCCCCCCCUUAAGAAGACCUCCUUGGACACAGAAAUGCUAAAUAAUUAUCAUCCAGUGGCAAAUUUCCCCUUUGGGGACAAGGUGCUUGAGCAGGUGGGGAGAUACUAGAUAGAUAGAUAGAUGACAGAUAGAUAGAUAGAGUAUUCCAAGAAGGCAACAAUAUCAGGAAACUUACCCAGGAAAGAGCUGUCUAGAAUUUUGUAGAAGGAGAGCAAAACAGUAGCAAACAUCAAUGAGCUUAGGAUGUCUGUGGUUUGGAUGGGGGGCUUUAUAAAACGUUAGCACUUCUGGGAAGAUUUCAGAAUACAGAACAUUUUUUUUAUUCCUCUAUGGUGACUCUUUAACUUGAUGCCGAACGCUGGGAGCUGCCAAGCUAUUCCUUGCUCCCCAUAUAACUUUUAAUUGGUGCUUGCACCUGUGUUCUUGUGUGACCUAACUGUGACUUGAAGAGACAAAUCCUGGCAAAGAUAAAGUAGCUCUCUAUUUUCCAGCACAAUCCUAUUUUUCACUCCCUUCUAGUUUGGCUAAGCACUGUAUUCAUUUCUGGCUGGAAUAGCCUCAAACAGAAGAUCCGUCCCUGUUGAACUAUAGUGUUACUUACAAGAUGGGGGGGGGGGAGAACACCCAACAUCUAUCUCUGCUUAAAGUUGUUUUCUCCUCCAUCAGAGACAACUUGCUCUAGCACAACAGCCAUAUUAUUAUGCUUUAAACACAUUGAUCCAUUUCAUGAGGUUUUCACAGAACAGGAACGAAAGCAUCAAUUUCUCAUGAUAUUGUUUUAGCUCUCUAAUUACUUUGUGACUUACAGCUCCUGCAAAUGAGGGAACAGUAAACAGCAAAUUUCGGUCUUUUAAUUAGCUGGCAGACAGCACAUAUUGUCGUAAUUUUGGGGCACAGGCUUCUUUGAUGAAAUGCGCUCUGAUUGUUUGAAUGUGAUCACUAUCAAAAUGAAUACAGCUUCAUUUUACAUAACAUGUUCAGAAUGUGAAAAGGAAAAGAGAGAAAUAAGGGAGGGAGGGAGAGAAUGGGACAAAACCAAAAUACGAUCCAUUUCCUUCCUUUUAGUUCUGGACAUUCAUUCCAAAAUGUGGGAUAAAAAUGUUUCAAGUCAGAUGAGAGUAAAAGUGGGACUAGAAUGCUAAGAAGGUGAAUAAGAAGCAAAAAACAGGAACCCAAAAGGACAAAACAAAAGGACAAAAAAUGCAGGAAUUGACUUGGUAGCGGUGCUGAGAAAUGCAGUGAACUCCUGUGACACAGAAUAGUUUUCCACCUGGUUCUGUCAUCAACAUUCAUGCCUUUAGCGAUCAUAUGGGGAUGGGGGGGGAAAGCAUGCCCCACACUCCUCUCAGAUUGAUCCCCCCAUCCAGAGAGACUGGGGCAACCCCGUCAGAUGGACAGGGUUUGGCCCCUGGUCCUAAGGUUGCUCAUCAAAAACAAAACAGUUCACUCCCCCCCCCCAUGAAAUACUUUGAAUUUUUAAAUUUUAAACUUUCUUAAAUUAUAGCACAACAAAAACAACAACCACAACAUGGAUUCAGAGCCUCACUAAGCCUUGAAACUCACUGACUGGCAUUGAACCAGCUGCACUUUCUCAGCCUAGUUUACCUGAUACAGUUGUUCUGUGGAUAAAAUGGCAUAACUUCCUUGUACACCGUUGUGACUUCCUUGGUGAAAGGACAGGGUGCAGCUGGGUUUAUUUAUUAAAGAGAUAUUCGUCUUAAUUAAGAGGAAGGCUUACUUUACGCCAGGGGUUGGGAACCUGUGGUCUGCCAGAUGUUGGUGAACUCCAACUUCCAUCCUCCUUGUCCAUAGGCCAUGCUGGCUUGGGCUGAUGGGAAUUGGAGCUUAACAACAUCUGGAGGGUCUCCACUCCUGCUUUAUCCAGUGAUUUGGGAGCUUUAUCAUAGUUCCCCUGUUAUCUGCUUGUUUAAAAUUAACCGUACUUUUGUUCUGGGAGAGGGCAACUUGUAUAUUUGUACGAUGCCUUGUUUCCAUUGAAAUGUAAUGAUUUUAACAAAUCGCACAAUCGAAACUGGAAAUCAGUUACUUGGGUAUUGUUACUUGAAUAAUUUAUUUUGAAUUGGGGAUUUGUGAGUCAAAAAUAACUGAGAGAGAUUAUCUAUAGCGAUGGGAAUAUAGCUGGGGCUCUGAGUGCUUAGAUGCACGAGUGAAGUUUUUAUAGAUGUUCACAGCCUUUAUGUGCAAUAUUCAAAAUUAGAAAUGUGGAAAUGAUUUAUUUUUGAAAGCAGCCACAUGGAAGCCUGGGAGUAAACAAACAAAUGGGCUGCUGUAAAGUAGGCACUCUAAACAUACAUAAAUAAAACAAAUUCAAUCCCCCAGCAGACCGUUGUUGUUUUUAAGAUGUCUUUUUCUGGUGAAAGUUUGUCAGCAGUCCUUUGACAAUUUAAAACAAGUUGGGCCGCCCCAACAGGGAUUUUAAAUAGUUUAAUCCAUUAGUAAAAGCAUGUCAUUUCCUCUCCUCAUUGCCAGAUAUUUCCACAGGAGAAAAACCACCAGUAGAUUGAAUAAGAACUUUUUCCGUAAUACAAAUAGUAGCUGUGAGCACCAUGCACCCAAUCUGGAUCUGGGCCACGGCCAGGGGAGAGGGUUCAAACCCCCUCACCCUCUGCUCCCCCCCCCACAUCAGGGCCCUGAUCCAGCUCAGGUUCACUGCACCUACAAUUUGUUUAAAAAUGGCAUCAUGAGUAAUUUGGUCCUCUUUAUCCUUUUCUUUCUUUGCUCUUGCCCUCUCAUUUACCCAGCCUACCUUUUAAGUGAAUUGGCUGCUGUGAAGCACAUGAUUUUCUAUAGCCCACUUGGCUGCGUCAAUCCGUAUGACUUUGUUUAUAAGCAUCCAUGACAUCAGCAAAGAGGAAGAUGACAUCAUCAAGAAAAAGCACACUCAUGGCAGUGAAUGGUAUUAUUAUUAUUAUUAUUAUUACAAAAUGCAAAUGAUGCUGAAGAUACCUUUUGACCCUCAGGAAAAAGAACACAAAACCAGGGAAGGUGUUUCACGUAACUCCUGACUAGGGGAGUAGCAGAGCUGAAUGACUAGCGGAGUCAUUGCUGCUCAACCAGUGCAAAUGUGGUGGGCAGUUGUUUUCCUUUUGCUUUUUGCUGUGGAGCUUCUCCUACACAUUAGUGAAGUUUAGCUGAAUGGAGAUAAACUUCAACUGCAUCCCAAAACACACACUCCACCCAUAGUAAUUCUGAUAUUGCUAUAUCUUAAAGGUAAAGGUAAAGGUACCCCUGCCCGUAGGGGCCAGUCGUGUCCGACUCUGGGGUUGUGCACUCAUCUCACUUAAGAGGCCGGGAGCCAGCGCUGUCCGGAGACACUUCCGGGUCACGUGGCCAGCGUGACGAAGCUGCUCUGGCGAGCCAGCACCAGUGCAGCACACGGAAACGCCGUUUACCUUCCCGCUAUAAAGCGGUACCUAUUUAUCUACUUGCACUUAGGGGUGCUUUCGAACUGCUAGGUGGGCAGGAGCUGGGACCGAAAGACGGGAGCUCACCCCGCCGCGGGGAUUCGAACCGCCGACCAUACGAUCGGCAGGUCCUAGGCACUGAGGUUUUACUCACAGCACCACCCGCGUCCCUUUUAUUGUGUUUUACUGCACAUUUAAAGAUCUAUCUUACUAACGUCUUAAUUUUACUUGUAAUAACAUGAAUCCUGGUUCUUAGAUACAGCAUCUUCCUUUGAUUUUCGAUUUGCAUUUAUUCAUAAGUACUUCUUUACCAUAGGCAUGGAGCUGUGGUUAUAUCUCUGGCCAGAAUCAGUUAGAUAGAUCUUUAAAUGUGCAGUAAAACAUCAGUUAGCUGGAAUAUAGUUGUCCCCCCCCGUCCCGUCCCCCAAUAGCUCAGCAUAUGUUUUUCCUAAACUCAAGCCUGUAUCUUGGCUGCAUUCAGGUUACAUUCUGUUUAUUGACAGCGUCAGCUGGAAGGCAACCUAGAAUGCUGUAUAAUCUCAGGCACAGGAAAGAGUUUUGGAACCAGUUCAAAAACUGCAGACGGGCAGAUGACUCCAGCCAUGCAGAGCAUCAGUGAUGGCAGUGCAUCUUAACCCGUGGCUGAACGCAGUAUCCAUCAGUGCUUUGUUUGCACCUCAUCCUCCCACCAGAGAGAGGAUGAAAGAAUAGCAAAAUCAAUCAUUCCUUUCUGCAUGCUGCAAAUGUCCAGUUGUUCUAAGAAUCACAACAAGGUAUAUAUUUCAGAAAGCAUUUUCUCAGACACAAAGGAUGAAGCUAAUUGCUUAGAAUGGAAGAUAACACACUCACUGGAGACAGUGCUGAGCUGGGAAGCCUCAUUCGGAGCUCGGAGAACAAGUUGUGCCAACUGUGACAAAAAAUUGCACCUAUGCCUACAUUACUUAGUGUCUUUAAAAUGACUUCAUUAGAUUAGCAAGGGGAAACUAAAACUUUGGCUGGAGCAAGCAAAGAAGAACCAAGCUUUAUAGCAGUUCUUCUCAUUUUGGUGUUCAUUUGGGGGGGGGGGCACCCAAGUGGCCUUACAAGCCUUCCAGUUGAUGGGGAAUGAUAGUUAUGGAUAAUUUUCUGUCAUAUCUACUGCAAAUGGUCCUUGAGGAUGUUAAGCAUUUGGAUCCAUUUUGAUCAGUUUUCAAAUCUGGUUUGGUAGUGAAAAUGUUGCUCUUUUUGUCCUGCUGGGUGAAUUAUAAAAGGGAAUGGAUGGGUUAGGGUUCUUCUGAAUUUCUUGGCAAUAUUAAUAGAAUCAUAGAAUUAUAGAGUUGGAAAGGACCCAAAGGUUUGUCUAGUCCAGCCUCAGGAAACUCAAUACUAUUUUAGUAGUAGUAGUAGUAGUAGUAGUAGUAGUAAUUAAUAAUAAUAAUAAUAAUAAUAAUAAUAAUAAUAUAUUAUUUAUACCCCGUCCAUCUGGCUGGGUUUCCCCCGCCACUCUGGGCAGCUUCCAACAAAGUAUUAAAAUACAGUGGUCUGUUGAACAUUAAAAACUUCCUUAAACAGGGCUGCCUUCAGAUGUCUUCUAGGUUUCCUUCUGGGCUACCAGGCUGAUGUGCUUAGAAGCUACAAUCUUAUAGUGGCUCUUUGGUUCAUCCUGGAGAGACAGUCCCAGAAGGUGGUUCUGGGGGUAUUUGUGCUUUAUGGUCUUUGGUAUACGGGAUGUCCCAGAGCUCUCUUCUUUCCUCUGCACUGUUUAAUAUCUUAAACUGGUGGGGGAAGUUAUCCGGACAUUUAGGAUGUGUAGCUGUCCUCAUCAGUACAAGCCUGUAAAAAAAAAUAUAUAUCUUGAAGAGCCAUCUGUUUCAGCUGGCUUUUAAUUAAGAUGGUUUUAUUUGGAUUGCUGAAGUUUUAGAAUGUUGAGUUUUAAUUCUCCUGCUUAUUUAGUUUCGUGGCUAUUUUUAUACUAGGCUGUAAAUUGUUUUAAAAUGUUGAUUAAUCAGUAAUUCUUGGAAGUUGGCUGUUUCUGAAAUUGAAACCGGCGUUUUGAUCUAAUAUUAUUGAAUUGCUCCGAGUGAUUUACUCCCACGCAGUCACAUCCAGAAGCUGAAAGAUACUAAAAAUAGGGCUAUAAGAACCUUUUUCACACGGGUAAACACAACACAUCCAGUCUGAGACAAGUAAACUAUAAUAGCCAGGAUGGCAAAAAGAACACCAAUGAAAUUUCAUCCACUUCUGGCAGUGGAACAAUGAGGACUCUGUUGCACCCAAACCUGAAUUAAAGAGGUGAGGUACUUGUUAUAGUGUUGACUAAGUUCACAGUUUCAUUGAAGCAUAACUUAGCAAGGAGAUAUGCAACCAUUACGCAAACUGAGGGGGAACAUAGUUUAUAGUAUGGGUGUUUGGGCGUGAUCUUUGACGCCUCCCUUCCUACGGAGGUGCAGGUUACAGCUAUAACAAAGGCAGCAUUUUUUCAUCUCCGCCAAGCUAAGCAGUUGGUCCCUUACCUCUCUCGCCCUGAUCUCGCCACUGUGAUCCACGCAACGGUCACCCCCAGACUGGAUUAUUGUAACUCACUCUACGUGGGGCUGCCCUUGAAACUGACCCAGAAACUGCAACAGAUGCAGAAUGCCGCAGUGAGACUUCUUACGGGGUCUUCGCCACGGGAUCACUUUCACCCAGUGCCAUACCAGCUGCACUGGCUCCUGGUGGAGUACAGGAUCAGGUUUAAGGUGCUGGUUUUAACCUUUAAAGCCCUAUAGGACCUUCGUACCUACGGGAUAUGCCCCAUAGAGGACCUUACGGUCUGCAAAUAACAACACCCUGAAGAUUCUGGGCCCCAGGGAGAUUAGACUAGCCUUGACCAGAGCCGGGGCCUUUUCAGCCAUGGCCCCAGCCUGGUGGAACACUCUCUAAAAAAGACCAGGGCACUGCAAGAUUUGACAUCCUUCCACAGGGCCUGCAAGAUGGAGCUGUUCCUCCAGGCCUUUGAUCAGGGUUCAGUCUGACUCAUUUUCUCUUUGUAUAAGAACGAGCAUGAAGAUGUCCCCCAGCCCGCUCACAGGUCCUUAUAACAGGCUUCCUCAACCUUGGCCCUCCAGAUGUUUUGAGACUACAAUUCCCAUAAUCCCUGACCACUGGUCCUGCUAGCUAGGGAUCAUGGGAGUUGUAGGCCAAAAACAUCUGGAGGGCCGAGGUUGAGGAAGCCUGCCUUAUAAUAUCAGUGGAAACAGUUGGUCCUGGCGAGUAUUAACCGCUUUAACCUGAGGAUUGUCAUUUGUCCAGUUUUAAUUUAAUUUAAUUUAAUUUUAAUUAAUUAAUUGUGGGGUGCAUUUUAAUCGAUUGACUGCUUGUUUUUAUGCAUACAGUGGUACCUUGGGUUACAGACGCUUCAGGUUACAGACUCCACUAACCCAGAAAUAGUACCUCGGAUUAAGAACUUUGCUUCAGGAUGAGAACAGAAAUCUCGAGGUGGUGGCGCAGCUGCAGCGGGAGGCCCCAUUAGCUAAAGUGGUACCUCAGGUUAAGAACAGUUUCAGGUUAAGAACGGACCUCCAGAACGAAUUAAGUUCUUAACCCGAGGUACCACUGUAUUGUAUUAUUUAUUUGAUGUUAGCCACUCUGAGCCAGGCUCCGGCUGGGAGGGGCGGGGUACAAAUAAAAAUUUAGUAGUAGUAGUAGUUGUAGCAGCAGCAGUAGUAGUGGAGAAUGGCCUCGUGGACCUUCCUGCCCAAGGUGAGAGUGAGCGUGACGCAGCCCAAAAGCUUGAAGCAAUGCGCUGACUGCUUCCGCACCAUCUGGCCACACCUGUAUUGAAGAGGGUCCCACCCAGUUCACAGCGCCAAACAAGGGUGGACUUUGGUCUUUCAAAUUUCAGAGGCCAAAAUUUGGUGCCCCCCCCUCAUCUCCCAUUUUGCUCAAUUCACCAUGACUGCAUAAUAGUUGAAAUGCCCUGCGUGGUGUGCAAUGUAGCAGAACUGGUCACACUGCCCUAAAUUUGCCUCAGCACCAAAGCCCCAAUACUGUGGGUAUAUGAAACAGGCAAAGCCCAGUGGAGUCCCAAAGUGCUAGAGAAUCCCCAGUCACUAUCCUGAUCCCUUGGUGUGGUCACUAAUGACAAUACUUAGUACUGACUUCCAUGUACGGACUGGCCUGUUGUGAUUGGACUCCUUCUCAUAUUACCAGCACACCCUCAGCACUAAUAGCCAAUCUCCCCACGGUAUCCAGAACAGGCAAAAAAAAAAUCUCCCUAUGCCAAUUUGGAUGGCAGGCAACAAGUACAUAAAUCAUAUUUCACCUUUACCUAGCCAGCCAAUCUUCCACAGUAGUGAAUGGGUGGGAGGGUGGAGAACAAAACAAGCAGAAAACUAGGCUAGUGAGACUAGAGGUGGUCUUCAAUAGCCCUCAGAUACCCCACUUCAAUGCCAGCCAAUGUGCAAGAGUGUCAUAUGCUGGCAAACCAGCACCUGGGUGUGCCACCCCAUUUUGACUGGAAACAAUGUCACUGGACCUUCAUCCGUCAAAGCUGGGGUGGCAGAAGGAGCCUGAAAAUGGCAGGCAGAUAAUUAUGCAAUUUAUCCAGCAGUCCAAACUUAAUUCAGAUUUCAUCCAUCUCUAGUAGGAACAUUACAGUCAAUGUUAGUAAUAAAACACCAGUAUGUAAAUCAAUGCUAUUUCCCAGUGACAGACACUGGCUAUUUUGGGAGCUCUGUGUAUAGAGGAACCAAGAAGUGGAACAAUGAAAGUUUUCUUUUGCAAGCAAAGUGAAAACAAAAGGUAAUAAAAUGAUAAAACAAGCACCGCUGAAGAGCUGUAGGAGGCUGAUAUUAUUUUUUAAAAAAUACAAAUUUGCUAACAAAGACUAAUGCACUAUUGUUGUGCUGCAGUCUCCACACUUAAUGAUAUAAAUACAUCUGUGUUCCUUGACAAUACACAAGUAAAGCAAUCAUGUAAGCAAUAUGUGGGUGAGAGUAUUUUUUGCUGACCUCCCCAGGCAAUCAGCUUGUGGUCUAAGCUGUUAGGUUUCAUUAGCACAGUUGCAGAGCUCCAUUUGCUAAUGUGGGCAAUUAAUCCAUCCAGGCUUCAAGGGAGAGAACUGCCCAGCUGUCCACAGAGUACCCUAACACUGCCUCAGUCAAAGCAAAGAAGGAAGCAAAUGGGAAGUACUUUCCUUUUGAGAGCAAGAGACCACAUUGGACAGCCAUAAAAUGUAAAUGCACUUGUUGGGUUUUUUUAAAAAAGCAACUUGCCGUAUUUUUCUCUCUAUAGGACGCACCCAACCAUAGGACGUACCUUGUUUUAGAGGGGGGUGGAACAAGAAAAAAAUUUCUCCCCCUCUCUGCUCAGCGCCCCUUCAGCAAAGCAGCAGGAGAAAUGGAGCCCCUUCCAUUUCUCCUCCCGCUUCACUGAAGGGGCUCUCCGCAGCUCUCUCUCUGCUGAAGCCAGGAGAGUCCUGCUCUCCAGGCUUCAGCGAAAGCAACGCGAAGCCUCCGGAGCGCAGAGGGAGCGCUCCCUCUGUGCUUCGAAGGCUUCGUGCUGCUAUCGCUGAAGCCAAGGAGCCUGCAUUCACUCCAUAAGACGCACACACAUUUCCCCUUAAUUUUUGGAGGGGGAAAAGUGCGUCUUAUAGAGCGAAAAAUACGGUAUAUACCGUCUAGCUACAGUAGUCUCUAAGCAGCUUCCAAAGAGACGAUACAAAAAUAAAAAUGAAUUAAAACUAAAAAAUCAGACAUCAGUUAAAACGCCUGCUGGAAUAAAUGUGCAAGAGGACGGGGACUUGACUGGCCUCAACUAGAAAGGAGUUCCAUAAAACUGGGCUCACAAAGCUAAAUGCUUGUCUUUUGGCGGAAAAGACCUGUGCAUUGGAUGCAAAGGGGACCACAAACUGUGACUCUCAUGAAGACCUUGGUGAUGAGGCAGGGAUGUCAGGGAUUAGGUGGUCCUUAAGGUAUCUUGGACCCAAAUAAUGAAGGACCUGGACUGGUAGCACAUGGGCAGCUAGAGCGGACUUUUGAGCUCUGGAAUUUUGUGCUGGUGAUGAUCUGUCUUCAUAAACAGUCUAGCUGCAGCAUUUUGCAUUAGAUGGAGCUUCCAGACCAGGCCCAAGGGCAGCCCCACUUAAAGUGCUCUGAGAUCUUCAGAUUAAGGGAUGGACAGAUGUCUUUUAAAUAAAUAAGAGCAUACCUCUCAAAUGUGUGCAGUUCUGAAUAAGACCAAGGUCGCCAAAAAUGUGCCACUUAUUCUUAAUUAAAGGCAUUCUUAACAUUGACCUUCAUAUUUACCAAAAUGUUGAUUUUAUUUUUUUUACUUUAAAAGUCUGCCCAGAAAACCACAGUAAUUAACUCUUUGACUGUUUUAAUUUCCAAAGUGAACUUUAUGAAUAUGGAUACCUAAACUCUGAAACUACUUUUCAUUACAAGUUAAUAUGUACUCGUCAAAUGACAAGGUUUUUGUUCUUUAGCAUUCGACAUGAGAUGAAUGAACUGCCAUGCAGUUUCUGCAUAGCUCAUUCUGCAUUGCUACUUGCACCAUUCCAAUAAAAGAAGUGCAAAAACCCGACACGGUUCAGGCCAUUGCUGGAACCCUGUCCAUAGCUACACAUGACAUCCCCAGCAUAUACAUGUGGAAAUGAUUGCACAAGAAUUCUAGCAUACUAGGAGUUUGAAUUACACAUAAAAUAGUACUAUAUCAGCUGAUAGUUUAACAAAGCGGAAUUGAAACCAAGAGGCACAAUUAAUCUGCUCCAGUGCCUCACACUUAAUGGAUUGUUGCAUUCUGCUAAUUAACUAUAAAUUUUAGCUUUAAGAAGCUUGUCCUGUGCAGGACCCAGUAGCUGAGGGAGGAGAUGGGAAGGUCAGAGCAAAAUAGGCAGAGAACAUAGGCUAAGGAUGUGACUGGGUGUUAUGAAUCAUGAUCUCCUUACAAAUCAGUAAAAUCUAUUUCUCAUGGAUAAGAGGUUAGACACAAUGGAAUAUUACAGGUUCAGCUUUUAGCAAAAGCACAAGAGAACCAAGUCAUGGAUUUCCAGAUUAUGUCUGGCUGCACCUUUAAUUCAUGAAAUAGGUAUUGACAUUAAAAUAAAUAAAUUAAAAAAUAAUAAAUGAGAGGAUACAUUUGUGCAUGAAUAGUUGGUCACUGGCACCUUCCAUUAAAAGGUAGUAGAAAAGACUAGACUAAACUGGGUUCAAUGUUCCAACCAUCUGCGAAUGCAUACAAGGCAUCUAAUUGUUCAUAUAUCUGGCCAAGGUACUAUAUCUGUUUUUCUCACAUGAUGGUAAAGCAUGUUUGUUGUCUUUCUUUCCUUGGUUCUAGAUUGUUUUUUAGUACAAGUGUACCAUCUGUGUUUGGUAAUUGAUUGCCCUUAUCUUUUAACAGCUCCCUUUAAAGUGAAAUUACAUGUUCUGCAGUUGCACAUUAGCCAGCGUUCAAGGAAGCACAUUCUCAGCUUAUAAUCCUACAGAAGUAUGGCAACAUCUCUCAAUAAAGAUGUGAGUGGUU